GCUAAUAAAUUAUGAUUUUAAUCCUUAAAAAAUUUUAAUCUAUUAUCUUCUUUCUUUGAACGUGCAUUGUUUGAUUUUCUUUCAGAAAAUUUGAUUUGAUGGAGAAAAUUGUGUCAAUUUUAAUUAAACAUGGUGGCAAAUGAAAUUCAUCAGAUUUGUUUUUUUGCAGAUUAAGACUGAGUUUGUGUUUGUGACAAAAUGUUGAAAGAUGGAGCAUGAAAUUCCUCGGAUCUUGCUUCAUCAUUCAACCUUCUACUUUUUCGCGGGGUUUCAUUGCCUCUCUUCGACAUUAUACAAUUUUUUGAGUGCAAAAGAUGAAGAUUUGAGUGCAAAAGUGGAAGAAUUGGUGAAGAAGAAUGUUAAAAGUGAAAGUUUUUUGAGCCAAAUUUGGUGAAGAUUAAAUGUUAGGCGUGCAAAAAGAAGAUUUGGUGAGGAUUUGGGGAAUAUAAUUUUUUUUUGAACAACGUGUGACAGUUUUAAAAAGAAAACUGUUAUUAUUUUAGAUAUUGAUGGGUAGUUAUUAAUUAUGGAAUGAUAAAAUCCCUAUUAUUUUGUAA
Molecule: long non-coding RNA, 557 nt
Organism: Solanum lycopersicum (tomato)
Lineage: Eukaryota; Viridiplantae; Streptophyta; Magnoliopsida; Solanales; Solanaceae
Source: RefSeq, a predicted model, not a curated record